RNAcentral lists this ribosomal RNA (383 nucleotides) under uncultured bacterium. RNAcentral's name for it is "bacterial SSU rRNA". It matches the Rfam family "Bacterial small subunit ribosomal RNA", at positions 28 to 412 of the family's 1533-position model. The record is from RNAcentral.
GACGAACGCUGGCGGCGUGCUUAACACAUGCAAGUCGAGCGGUAAGGCCCUUUCGGGGGUACACGAGCGGCGAACGGGUGAGUAACACGUGGGUGACCUGCCCUCAGCUCUGGGAUAAGCCUGGGAAACCGGGUCUAAUACUGGAUAUGACUCCAUGACGCAUGUUGUGGGGUGGAAAGCCUUGUGCGGCUGAGGAUGGGCCCGCGGCCUAUCAGCUUGUUGGUGGGGUGANGGCCUACCAAGGCGACGACGGGUAGCCGGCCUGAGAGGGCGACCGGCCACACUGGGACUGAGACACGGCCCAGACUCCUACGGGAGGCAGCAGUGGGGAAUCUUGCGCAAUGGGCGAAGGCCUGACGCAGCGACGCCGCGUGAGGGAUGAC